RNAcentral lists this ribosomal RNA (887 nucleotides) under Escherichia coli. RNAcentral's name for it is "bacterial SSU rRNA". It matches the Rfam family "Bacterial small subunit ribosomal RNA", at positions 658 to 1533 of the family's 1533-position model. Lineage: Bacteria; Pseudomonadati; Pseudomonadota; Gammaproteobacteria; Enterobacterales; Enterobacteriaceae. The record is from RNAcentral.
GGGGUAGAAUUCCAGGUGUAGCGGUGAAAUGCGUAGAGAUCUGGAGGAAUACCGGUGGCGAAGGCGGCCCCCUGGACGAAGACUGACGCUCAGGUGCGAAAGCGUGGGGAGCAAACAGGAUUAGAUACCCUGGUAGUCCACGCCGUAAACGAUGUCGACUUGGAGGUUGUGCCCUUGAGGCGUGGCUUCCGGAGCUAACGCGUUAAGUCGACCGCCUGGGGAGUACGGCCGCAAGGUUAAAACUCAAAUGAAUUGACGGGGGCCCGCACAAGCGGUGGAGCAUGUGGUUUAAUUCGAUGCAACGCGAAGAACCUUACCUGGUCUUGACAUCCACGGAAGUUUUCAGAGAUGAGAAUGUGCCUUCGGGAACCGUGAGACAGGUGCUGCAUGGCUGUCGUCAGCUCGUGUUGUGAAAUGUUGGGUUAAGUCCCGCAACGAGCGCAACCCUUAUCCUUUGUUGCCAGCGGUCCGGCCGGGAACUCAAAGGAGACUGCCAGUGAUAAACUGGAGGAAGGUGGGGAUGACGUCAAGUCAUCAUGGCCCUUACGACCAGGGCUACACACGUGCUACAAUGGCGCAUACAAAGAGAAGCGACCUCGCGAGAGCAAGCGGACCUCAUAAAGUGCGUCGUAGUCCGGAUUGGAGUCUGCAACUCGACUCCAUGAAGUCGGAAUCGCUAGUAAUCGUGGAUCAGAAUGCCACGGUGAAUACGUUCCCGGGCCUUGUACACACCGCCCGUCACACCAUGGGAGUGGGUUGCAAAAGAAGUAGGUAGCUUAACCUUCGGGAGGGCGCUUACCACUUUGUGAUUCAUGACUGGGGUGAAGUCGUAACAAGGUAACCGUAGGGGAACCUGCGGUUGGAUCACCUCCUUACCUUAAAGAAGC